Molecule: ribosomal RNA, 173 nt
Filed under: uncultured Nitrospira sp.
Lineage: Bacteria; Pseudomonadati; Nitrospirota; Nitrospiria; Nitrospirales; Nitrospiraceae
Description: partial 16S ribosomal RNA
Rfam family: Bacterial small subunit ribosomal RNA
Source: RNAcentral
ACUCCUACGGGAGGCAGCAGUGAGGGAUAUUGGUCAAUGGGGGAAACCCUGAACCAGCGACGCCGCGUGGGUGAAGAAGGCCUUCGGGUCGUAAAGCCCUUUUCCCGCUGACGAGGAAGGACGGUAGGCGGGGAAGAAGUCUCGGCUAACUACGUGCCAGCAGCCGCGGUAAU